RNAcentral lists this long non-coding RNA (7436 nucleotides) under Nicotiana benthamiana. RNAcentral describes it as "long non-coding RNA (NBEN_LNC026258)". Lineage: Eukaryota; Viridiplantae; Streptophyta; Magnoliopsida; Solanales; Solanaceae. The record is from RNAcentral.
ACAUGGAAUCAUGAGAGCCUCAAACAAUAUUAGAGUGUCAAGUUAGGAGAAAGAUAUAUUUCAAGUUAGUUUCAAUAUUGUUAAGUUGAGAGAUUUUUAGGACAUAUACACCAUCGUAUUUUUAGCAUGGAGUCUGAUCUCAGCUCGAUCGGCUAAGCCAUAUCACCCUGAUACAUCCACUCACAACACCACUAUGUGUGCGGCAUGGCGUGCGAUCUCAGCCUGAUCGGCUAAGUCGUCUCACUACAAUGCCAUAUGGGUCAACAUCACAUCAUAUCCCAUUAGCAAUCAUCAUAUCUCAUUUAAGGGGAAAUAUUUCAACGUAUCUUACUAGCAGAAUCAGGAUAGACAGAAAACAAAAGUACAAGGAAAGACUUCUUCCGUUGCGGGUUGACAUGAUGGAGAAGCAGCUCACCGUAGAAGUCCCAAAUAUGCUCACGGGUGCGCACCAGAAUGAAAUCCAGAUCCACCUACCUCAGAUCCUGUACAUUUAAGUACAUACGGGUAGCAUGCGUACAUAAGCAAUAUGUACCUAGUAAGUAUCCCCUCUAAUCUCGAAGAAGUAGAGAUGAGAGGUCGACUUGGUACUUACUAGGGUCAAGUAAAACGAGGAGAAUUUACUAUAGGCGGGAAUAACUCAAUCAUACUGAUAAGCAAGUAUAAAACAACAAAUUUUCCUUUAACUUUCCACCAAGAGGGUCCAUUUAUGUCUAAACAAGUAUGAAAUUUAAUGCACAAAUAGUUCAAUGAAUAAAUCAUGUGCAAAUAAUCACGGAGGAACGUUCGGCCCCAUCAAACAUAAAAGUAAAUUGUGCACUGCCGAGGGUCGAACAACUCUAUUACCCCGUUCGCGAAUCAUCCGUGCGACAUGGUCAAACAUAUAUAAGCACCACAAACAGACAAUAAUAUAUAUCUGAGGAGCAAUAAAUCGAAGGAAAAUCCCAAUUCUCUUUUAAGGGUUAAAAUAAAUUAAGGUAACUUCACUAAUAGCACCUCCCUUAAUCAAUAGUUCAUACAAAUUCUGAAUUUAACAUCAAGUCACAAGAACAUCACGUAGAACAUGCUUUUGGGCCCUACACUACCCAGACUUAGCAUAUAAGCUACCACGCACGGACUCGCAUCACCUAGUACGUCUGUAGCCCCCACUUAUAAAAAAAAAUUUAUUCAAUUAUUAUACAUAUUCGGACAAUUUCCUCUUACAAGAUUAGAAAGGAGACUCACCUUGCUCCAAAGUGCACUUCCAAUUACCAAGAACGAGACCAAGUCCUUUCUUCGAAGCCGAACAAUACCUAACUAGUUAAACAAAGUAAGAACUAAUUAAUAUAUGCUCACAAGAUAAAUUCCUAGCUAUUUAAUCAAUUCCCAAACGCUUUACAUGAAUUUCAUAAAUUUUGAUUCCAGGCCCACAUGCCUGGAUUUAGAGAUUUUUCGAAAUUGUUCUCUAUAACCUAAGGAUCAACAAUAUAUAAUUUCUAGUUCAUUUCAUAGCAAAUUACAUGAUUAAAUCUUAGUUUUAUUAAAAACUUAGGUCUAGAUCUAACCCUUGAUUUUACUUAGUUAUUAGUGUUUAAUCUACCUAAUGUACAUGUAUUUAAACUAAAAAAGAAUGGGAAUUACUUACCUUACAAUGUUAUGUUGAAAUCCGCUCUUUGGAAGCUCCCAAAUCGCCCAAGUGUGGAGUUGUGAAUGAAAUAUAUGGCUUUGAGUUCGAAUUAAAUGAACUCACAUACCAGCGAUUAUUGCUUCUGCGGUUUGGGGACCGCAUCUACAGUCCCACACCUGUGAAAAAAAGGCCGCAUAUACGACUUUCGCAUCUGCAGUUUGGGAACAGCUUAUACGGAACCACUUCUGAAAUUUUCCACAACUUGGAAUUGGACACAUUUGCGAUAAUUUGGCUGCAUCUGCGGUCCUUGAAUCGCAGAUGCGGUUAUGAGAGAAGUAGUAACUCAGCUCUUUCUUCCAAUUUUAACUUCACUCGAGCCUCGAGCGUUUGAUGCACGGGGAUCUCGAGCCCCUCCCAAACAUAUUGAUAGGUCUGAAAUCACGAGGCGUACCUACUCAAACCCUCGGAACACUAAAAACAAUGCUAAAUCUAAGAACCACCUCCCAAAACCAAAUGCAUCAAACUAUUGAACUUCAAGUUCUUAAUUCUCUUCUAACGGGUCAAAAUGCCCUUAAACUACNNNNNNNNNNNNNNNNNNNNNNNNNNNNNNNNNNNNNNNNNNNNNNNNNNNNNNNNNNNNNNNNNNNNNNNNNNNNNNNNNNNNNNNNNNNNNNNNNNNNNNNNNNNNNNNNNNNNNNNNNNNNNNNNNNNNNNNNNNNNNNNNNNNNNNNNNNNNNNNNNNNNNNNNNNNNNNNNNNNNNNNNNNNNNNNNNNNNNNNNNNNNNNNNNNNNNNNNNNNNNNNNNNNNNNNNNNNNNNNNNNNNNNNNNNNNNNNNNNNNNNNNNNNNNNNNNNNNNNNNNNNNNNNNNNNNNNNNNNNNNNNNNNNNNNNNNNNNNNNNNNNNNNNNNNNNNNNNNNNNACUCGGAUUGACCCCAAAUUUUACGAGAAAGUCUUAACUGAUAUUUUGGACCUGUACCAAAGUUUUGAAACAAAAAUCCGAGCCCAAUACCUAGGAAAUCAAUGAAUACUUAGUUGCUUUAAUUACUUAAAACUUUAAUUUAACAAUUUCACAUAAAAAUUCAUUACUCGGGCUAGGGACCUCGAAAUUCGAUUCCAGACAUAUGCCCAUGUCACAUCUUUUCCCACGGACCCUCUGGGACCAUCAAUUCACAAAUUCGGGUUUGUUUUUCCAAAAAUUUAACCGAAGUAAAACUUGGUCUUUUAAGAGAAUCCAAAAGAUCCACAUUUUGUGGCUCUCAGAGAAACGGUACUCCAGGGAGGUGCCAAGGAAGUUUCUAUUGGCAAGGAUGGUGCACUACGGCUUCAGGGCCGUCUAUGUGUUCCUAAUGUUGAUUUUUUGAGAGAGAGGAUUCUAGAAGAGGCCUACAGUUUGAGGUUUUCCAUUCAUCCAGGUGCCACGAAGAUGUAUCUGACUUGAGGCGGCAUUAUUGGUAGCAGAGGAUGAAGAAGGACAUCAUGGAAUAUGUAGCUAGAUGUCUAAAUUUCCAGUAGGUCAAGUAUGAGCAUCAGAGGCCGGGCGGCCUACUUCAGCAGAUGCUUAUUCCCUAGUGGAAGUGGGAGCGCAUCACUAAGAAUUUCGUAGUUGGGUUGCCGCGGACCUUGCGGAAGGUUGAUUCAAUAUGGGUCAUUAUGGAUAGGUUGACCAAGUCAGCUCACUUCAUUCCAGUGGCGAAUACUUAUACAGCGGAGAGAUAUGCUCAAAUUUAUAUUCGGGAGAUAGACCAGUUGCACGGUGUGCUGGUUUCCAUCAUAUCAUAUAGGGUCCCUCAGAUCACUUCCCAUUUUUGGAGAGCCGUUUAGAGUGAGUUGGGGACCCGUGUAGAGCUUAGCAUACCAUUCCAUCCUCAGACCGACGGGCAGUCACAGCAGACAGUUCAGAUUUUAGAAGAUAUGCUUAGAGCAUGUGUGAUUAACUUUAGCGUGUAAUAGGAUCACUUCUUGCCUUCAACAGAGUUUGCAUACAACAACAACUACCAGUCCAGCAUAGAGAUGGCUCCAUGAUGCUCAAUAUUUUCCCAUAUAAGGGAAAACAAUCUCAUCACAUCAACAUAGGGAUUUACCCUUCAAUCACUCCUACACUGGCACGUAUUGUAUAGGGUUUAGAUAAUAUCGAUAUAUCCUUGCUCGGUGACUAAAUGAUACUCCUAAAACAUUUAUUAUUUCAAGUAUUUACAACUCAUUUCAUAAUCUUUCACACAUAUUUCCAUUUUAUUGGAACUUCUGGCCACAAUUAUAAUAUUAUUCUCGACACGUCGGUCGUAUUUCAUAUUUCAUGCUCACCUCUAUAACUUUCAACCAUCAUCAUGGUUUAUCAACAAUAAGGGAAUUUGAAAUCAAGACUUUAAGUGUAUAUAUGAGGAAUAAGAGUCUUAUCACAUUUAUUGUCUCUUCUACAAAUAGGCAUAUAUAUGAGGAAUAAGAGUCUUAAUCAUAUUUAGUGCCUCUUCUAAAAUUAGGCAUACUAACCUGUAAUUGAAACAUGAUUUUUAAAUCACAACACCUUUAAUAAAUUGGUCAUAAUAGAUUACAUUCUCGGAGGGAAUUAUGAUAUGAUGGGAAGAUUUAAAACAUAUUUUGAAUACAUACAUAUUUCAACACAGCACUUAUUUUAGAAUAACCAAAUUUAUUAGGAAAGACUUGAAACAUGAGAAAUAAGUGAUUGACCCAAUUAUAAUCGCAACUUACGAGGACAUCAUGGAAUCCAAAUUUUACAAAAGGAGUUUAGCCAACAUAUCUUGCUUGAGCCUUCCUUAAAUUAAUACAACAUUUUGUAAAUCCUAGCGACUUCAAUCUAGUAAAGACAUGACAAAAUUGAACCACCAUUAGGAAGAUACUCGGGGGUUCAGCUCAUUUGAGCAUUUUAUCAAAAAUAGGUUAGUAUUAUGAUUUUAAGGUUCUCCUAUGGAGGAUUCGUUCAUCCCACAACCCAAGAUUUUCCCAUUUGAGCUCAAUAACCUUCCCACCAACCUUGAUGGUAUGUGCAUGCAUAAGUAAUACUCUCACACCCAAGAAUCACACUUCUCAUUACACAUAUUCUAUCACAAAUUGGAAAUGGAAAGCUAGGUUAGAACCUUACCUCUUGGGGAAAGACCUUGUAUGUUUUCAUUGUGAAUUCUCUAAGACUUGAGCAAAGAUUGGUGAACCAAGCACUUGGGGCUUCCUCCUUUCUCUAAUACACUCCCUUAUCUCUAAAAUGGCGGUUUAAUCCUUCUAAAAUAACCCCCAAAGUCUUUUUAUAAAAAUGGGAUCAUGUGAAAUUUACCAAAAUUUAAACUUUACGAAGUCGGGUCUUCGGUCGUAGACCGGACUGCAAAACGGGUAUGCUGCCCGCAAAGGGGACCGCAGAAAUGGUCCCAAAAAUUAGGCAGGCAUAGAUAGGUCCAUGACUAAUCUGUGGUCGCAUAAUGGACCACAGAACUUCCUUUCUCGUGCCGGUUAUGUGAUAGAUGGGUGUCCCGCAAAACGAUUAUGUGGUCGUAUAGUUGACCACUAAACGACCUCUAAAAUCGGCCCUCUUUUUGCUUCACUCCACGACAGAUCUAUGGUUGCGUAAUAGACUGCAGAAAUUCCCUGGGGUGCAAUAAUUUUUCUUCAACUUCCCAAUACACAGCUCAACCCAAAUGUCUAUACUGCAGCGACCUUGAAUAAUUUCUACAAUCACCAAACAUAUAAGCCUACCUUGGCAUCACGAAACCCUGAAUUUUAGGUAAAAUUUUACGGGGCCUUACACAUAAGGCAGGUUCUUGCUUGCAUUUUUUAGGAACAAAGCUAAGGUGACAGAAUUGACCAACAUGAAAUAGCAUACUUCAAAUGAAGUUUCAAACAAAGAAUAGCCAAUACUAGUCUAAAGCACAUUAUAUAGGAGGUUGAAGCAUGGAAAACUAGUAGAGUCAUUGUGGAGCACAUCCUUUACAUGGUAUGCUUAAUAUGGAAGCCAUAACAUAAAAGGUUCAUAGUCAAGCAAUUACUUAAUUAGGCGGGAAAAAAAUUAAGAAUGUUGAACAUUAGUCACAGCUCAAUUUUAGAAGUAAGGCAUGCAGGCAUAAAAUCUAGCAAUAGUUGACCACAUAUAGGGGAAAAUGCUAGCUUUAAAGUUAGAACUAGUACCGAAGAAUACAUGGUUGAUCAAGCCAACAAACACAUAAUAGAAAUAGAAAUUGCAUGAGAACAAGUUGUAAUGGAUAAUCAGGUCCAAGAAAGGCAGAAAGUUAGGCAUGUAUGACUUAGUAGGAAUUAGAAUACCUCCUAGGCAUGAGUGUGAUUGACAUAACAGUCCAAAACAAGGCAAAGAGGCAAACUCAGCAUAACAUAGUAGACAAAACAAGUUUAGGAGAGCCAGAAUUCAUAGUGGACAAGGACACAAUAAAAUUGGAUUAUCGGACCACGUAUAAGUAAAAGGGAGAUAUUACAGUUCUCCUUAUUGGUUGUAAGUAGUAUCAAACAACACAUGAUUGAACUAGGCAUGUAACACACAUUAAAGCACACAAUUAGCAAGAAAACAUUUUGGGAUGACAACAUAGUUAGGCAUUGGUCCUACUAGAGUAUUUGACCAUAUGAGUUAACCUAUCACAAGAAUGCAGAACAAAGUAGGGAGAUAAAUGCAGGAAGAUUAGCAGGUAACACACAAAAACACACUACACUAGGCAUGCUUAAAGUAGUGAGAAUCUUUUAUGAUGAGCACAUAUAGUAGGCGUAGUAAUACAGAAAUACACACAUAUUAGGCUAAGAUGAGCCGAGGGACCCAAAUAUCAAGGGCUUAAAUCAAAAUUAGAGUAUUAGGCAGGUUCUAAGUCAAGAAAAGCAUAGAGCUAGAAGAUAACUUUAAAAAUCCCAAAAGAACCACAAACAAAGAUAACAUAGUAUCAUAUUGAUUCACUGAAACUCAAGUGGCAUGGUUUCACAAAGCAUUAGCACAAGAAAAAGGAUGAAAUUGAGAGAGUCACAGAUGCUUACCAAUAGAAACUACAAGUAAAGAGCUAACUUCAGCAAAACUUCGAUGGUCAGUAGCAAUAGAGAACAACACGACCGCAAUCCCAGUAUGUCAGAGUUCAUAAGGACUUCUGAUGAGUCCCGAGUAGUUCCCACACUGGAGGGAUUAGCAAUGCAAAUUCCUCUGGCCUUGUAUUUCAUUCAGCUAAGAACAAUAGAUUCAUAAUAAUAUCAAGUGAGUUAGAGUGAGAGAGAGUAGUGGUCAAGAUCCAUUUUAGGAGAAUUGGAGGAGUGGUUUAUAUAGUGACAGAUUAGGAAGAACAAACAUGAAAAAUAAUCAAAUAAACAUAAAUAAGGACGAAAAAGAUCACAUGCAAUCAUUAACAAACCUAGUAAAAGAGCUAAAAGAAUUUUCAAAUCCUAGUUAGGUCCAAUGACCAUGAAUCGGACCAAAAAUUCAAGAAUCACUUAUUGUAGAGUGUAUAUAGAUGAAACAUCACCUAGAUCUUCACAAAAUCGAGUCAAUCGGGCCUAUUUUGAAUGGCAGUAGUUGUCAAAAUUGGGCAAAAACUAAGUAACACCAUGAACGUGUGAGCAAUAGCAGGAUAAGGCAAGAAAAUCAUGAAAAGAUUCCGUAGUGUAGCCUAAUUCAGAGAGGAUUUGGGGGAUAAGGCGACUAGGGUUUUCAGAGAAAAAGGGAAGGUUAUAGAGAGUUUAGGGGCGCGGAUGGGUAGAAAUUUUCUCUAGGGUUUGGCAACGGGUUUAUAAGUAAACAGUUUGAGCGAUUACAGAAUAAACAGUAAUCAAUUGUUGGCCAUCAGUUGUGUUUGAGACAAUCAAUGGAUGUGAGCCUUGUGAAUGGUAAAUGGAGCAAGAUUUGAC